AACAAGGGAACGCCAACUAAAUCCGGCCCGUCCUGGGCCACCGUUGGCAUAACCCGGUUCCUCCGGG
This 67-nucleotide small RNA is filed under the name Oceanobacillus picturae. RNAcentral describes it as "Bacillaceae-1 RNA". It matches the Rfam family "Bacillaceae-1 RNA". Lineage: Bacteria; Bacillati; Bacillota; Bacilli; Caryophanales; Bacillaceae. The record is from Rfam by way of RNAcentral.